CGACCAGACUCCUACGGGAGGCAGCAGUGGGGGAUAUUGCACAAUGGGGGAAACCCUGAUGCAGCGACGCCGCGUGGGCGAAGAAGUAUUUCGGUAUGUAAAGCCCUAUCAGCAGGGAAGAAGAAAUGACGGUACCUGAGUAAGAAGCACCGGCUAAAUACGUGCCAGCAGCCGCGGUAAUACGUAUGGUGCAAGCGUUAUCCGGAUUUACUGGGUGUAAAGGGAGCGCAGGCGGCACGGCAAGCCUGAUGUGAAAGCCCGCGGCCCAACCGCGGGACUGCAUUGGGAACUACCGGGCCGGAGUGCCGGAGAGGUAGGCGGAAUUCCUAGUGUAGCGGUGAAAUGCGUAGAUAUUAGGAGGAACACCAGUGGCGAAGGCGGCUUACUGGACUGUAACUGACGUUGAGGCUCGAAAGCGUGGGGAGCAAACAGGAUUAGAUACCCCCGUA
Molecule: ribosomal RNA, 449 nt
Filed under: uncultured bacterium
Lineage: Bacteria
Description: bacterial SSU rRNA
Rfam family: Bacterial small subunit ribosomal RNA
Source: RNAcentral